This 403-nucleotide ribosomal RNA is filed under the name uncultured bacterium. Its description in RNAcentral is "partial 16S ribosomal RNA". It matches the Rfam family "Bacterial small subunit ribosomal RNA", at positions 28 to 526 of the family's 1533-position model. The record is from RNAcentral.
GACGAACGCUGGCGGCGUGCCUAAUACAUGCAAGUCGAACGCAGUGGGGACGGGUGAGUAACACGUGGGUAACCUCCCAUCAGAGGGGAUAACACUUGGAAACAGGUGCUAAACCGAUACUGAUGGAUGGACCCGCGGUGCAUUAGCUAGUUGGUGAGGUAACGGCUCACCAAGGCCACGAUGCAUAGCCGGUGUGAGAGGAGGAUCGGCCACACUGGGACUGAGACACGGCCCAGACUCCUACGGGAGGCAGCAGUAGGGAAUCUUCGGCAAUGGAGGAAAGUCUGACCGAGCAACGCCGCGUGUAUGAAGAAGGUUUUCGGAUCGUAAAACACUUUUGUUAGAGAAGCGGUAUCUAACCAAAAAGCAACGGCUAACUACGUGCCAGCCGCCGCGGUAAUUC